RNAcentral lists this non-coding RNA (132 nucleotides) under Tolypothrix campylonemoides. RNAcentral's name for it is "SAH sequence". It matches the Rfam family "SAH (S-adenosyl-L-homocysteine) riboswitch aptamer". Lineage: Bacteria; Bacillati; Cyanobacteriota; Cyanophyceae; Nostocales; Tolypothrichaceae. The record is from RNAcentral.
CUCCCCGAGGGGCGCUGCGACCACCGGCGCGAGCCUCGACCGCCACGCGCGGUGGAGGCCGCGGGACACGCCACGUGUCCGAUCCGCUGGCCAGGCUCGGGGAUGUCCAUGCGACAACGGCGCCCGUGCAGG